This 959-nucleotide unclassified non-coding RNA is filed under the name Leishmania donovani. RNAcentral's name for it is "gene:unknown". The record is from RNAcentral. Lineage: Eukaryota; Euglenozoa; Kinetoplastea; Trypanosomatida; Trypanosomatidae.
AGUUGCCUUAAUCUUUCCUUUUCUUUUUGUUUUCCUCUCUCCUUUCCUCUCCGUGACUCAGACGUGCCUGUGCUCAACCGCUUACCUACCCCGCGCGCGCCACGCAAUCACCGCAUCCACGAGGAGGCAAAUAUUGGGAUUGCCGACACGCCCGCAUUAGCACCGGUGCACACCCCAACGCAAGCGUCACGCUCCCUCUUUGCCUUUGCCCUCACCUUCCCUAAUCCAUUCAACUCCGCCGCUCCUUCGCGCAGCGUGUGUGUCAUUGUAUGCCUGUCUGUCUUUCCACUCGCUGAACUUGCUUGUGCUUGUUCCUUCCUUGCUCGGUUGCUGCAGGAGCUGUGUGCGUGCGUGCCCAUCGGCAGAGACGGGUUCUCUCUUCGUUGUCACCCCUCCACCCCCAUCUUCUUCUUCCCCACCUUCUCUCUCUGUCUACGACCCGCGCCUGCACCGCCGUAGCGUGUUGCUGUAGCUUCCGACCGGCUCGUCCUUUGCGAGCCUUUCUUGUGCCCGAUCGACCUCCUUCCCCUUCGCUUCUUGUUUGUUUCGGGGUCUUUGUUGGGCCCUCGUCGCCGAUAUCUCCACCUCCUCUCUCUCUCCGCGUUGUCAUCAUUUAGCGUUGCACUUCUUGUCCCUCUCACAGAAACACACACACACACACACAUACGCAGGUGAACUCCAUCCGUGAAGGGACGCGCGUUGAGUGCCUCUCUGAGCAUCCUCGAGGGUGUCUCUACUUUCUCUUCUUUCUUUUCCCUCUUCCCCACACCCAGACGAACACCUCCCUGCCGAUUUCGUCCCUGUCGCGCCGUUCUGUGUUGCCCUUGCGUGCUUCGAUUCUCCGCGGUCUAUCUGCUCGGCGUGUCUCUGCCCAGCACCGACUGUGCUCUUCCCUUCCUCUUGUUUCUCUCUCUGCCUCCGUCACGCGCUUUUCUGCGUGCCGUCCGCCUAUAACACAG